AUGGACAACUCAGACUUCAGACUACGCCUCGGCAUGGAUAGAUAUCUUCGAUGCAGUCUUCCGUACGGCGGGCUCCCAAGCAAGGACUCCCCGCAGAUGGCCUUCUUCGACGCCGCCACCGAGGGCGACCUUCCCCGCCUCAGGGAGUUGGCGAUCGGCAGGGACGCGGAGGAGAAGGCCUGGCUUGCCGAUGUGUGUAUCCUCGGUGGGGGGCCGUUUCAGAUGGCGGCACGCCUGGGGAAUCUGGAUGUCAUCAGGUGCCUGGUGGAAGAGUUAGGCUUUGACGUCAAUGCUGGUAGCCAAGAUGGCAUGACUGCUUUGGCUAAUGCUGCCAUGGAUGAAAGGAUAGAUGUUAUGGGGUACCUUCUGGACCAUGGGGCUGAUCCAAAUAAGCAAGACAAUUUAGGCUUUGUUCCUCUUCAAUGUGCUGCCAAAAAAGGACGCGAUGAAGCAGCGAAAUUGUUGCUAUCUAGAGGAGCUAGUGUUGAUAUAGCUCCUCAUGAUCUGACACCACUACAUUUCGCUGCUGGCUAUGGGAUGACUGGUGUCAUGAAAGUUCUAUUGGAGCACCAUGCAGAUCCGAACAAGGUCUCAGACGCUGGAAGAACUCCGCUGACUGAAACACUUUAUGCCACUCGUUCAGGACUACCUGAAUCUCUUUCACUGGAGUGUGUGAAGCUGCUUGUGGAGGCAGGCACGGAUGUAAGUUCUGCUAAUACUGAAACACCGUUGGUAAUAGCAACUAGUUAUGGCUUAACUGACUGCGUCAAGUACCUGUUGAAGGCUGGUGCAGACCCUAAUAUCCCACAUAUUAAUUGUGGUGCCAUGCCAAUAGAACUUGCUGCAACCAUUGGAAAACGGCAGCUUGUGGAGUUACUAUUUCCUUUAACUUCUCCUAUUCGAACUGUACCAAACUGGACCGUUGAAGGAAUUAUUGCCCAUGCCAAAAGGCCUUCGAAGUCCACGGUUAAGCAUGAUAAAAAUACAAAAGUUCAGUUGAAAUCAUUUUGUGAGAAAGCUAUUAAGAGAAGGGACUAUCAUGGUGCGUCAUUAUUCUACACUGAGGCAAUUGAGCUAGAUCCUACCGAUGCGACACUGUAUUCAAAUAGGAGCUUGUGUCAUCUGCAGACUGCUGAAGCAGAGAAGGCUCUGCAUGAUGCCAACACUUGCAUCAAACUGCGCCCUGAAUGGAUCAAAGGUUACUACAGGAAAGGAGCCGCUCUCAUGUUGCUCGAGGACUAUAAAGAAGCUUGUGAUGCAUUCAUGGCUGGCCUGCAGCUGGACCCUGGAAAUGCUGAGAUGGAGAAAGCGCUGCGGGAGGCGGUUCAGGAAAUGAAGAAGGAUCACUUGGCUAGGAAGGGCCUCAAGCGAUCCGACUAG
Molecule: ribosomal RNA, 1380 nt
Filed under: Triticum aestivum (bread wheat)
Lineage: Eukaryota; Viridiplantae; Streptophyta; Magnoliopsida; Poales; Poaceae
Description: partial small subunit ribosomal RNA
Source: RNAcentral